GAUGAAGAACGUAGCGAAAUGCGAUAAGUAGUGUGAAUUGCAGAAUUCAGUGAAUCAUCGAAUCUUUGAACGCACAUUGCGCCCCUUGGUAUUCCAUGGGGCAUGCCUGUUCGAGCGUCAUUUGUACCUUCAAGCUCUGCUUGGUGUUGGGUGUUUGUCUCGCCUCUGCGUGUAGACUCGCCUCAAAACAAUUGGCAGCCGGCGUAUUGAUUUCGGAGCGCAGUACAUCUCGCGCUUUGCACUCAUAACGACGACGUCCAAAAGUACAUUUUUACACUCUUGACCUCAGAUCAGGUAGGGAUACCCGCUGAACUUAAGCAUCUCAAUAAGCGGAGGA
RNAcentral lists this unclassified non-coding RNA (337 nucleotides) under soil metagenome. Its description in RNAcentral is "partial contains 5.8S ribosomal RNA, internal transcribed spacer 2, and large subunit ribosomal RNA". The stretch from base 1 to 120 matches the Rfam family "5.8S ribosomal RNA", at positions 35 to 154 of the family's 154-position model. The record is from RNAcentral.